This 666-nucleotide ribosomal RNA is filed under the name Kurtzmanomyces insolitus. RNAcentral describes it as "eukaryotic LSU rRNA". The stretch from base 185 to 339 matches the Rfam family "5.8S ribosomal RNA". The record is from RNAcentral. Lineage: Eukaryota; Fungi; Basidiomycota; Agaricostilbomycetes; Agaricostilbales; Chionosphaeraceae.
UCCGUAGGUGAACCUGCGGAAGGAUCAUUAGAGAAUUUAAUGGGAGUCCCUCUUAACCGGAGAAGGCCCAAUUCUACUAUUUUUCAAACCCUAGUGCAUUUGUCCCCUUUUUUAAUUACCCUUUUAACCCUUUUUGCAUUUGAAAAGGUUGUUGUGUUUAACACAUUUUGAUAAAUGAAAGAAAAACUUUCAGCAAUGGAUCUCUUGGCUCUCGCAUCGAUGAAGAACGCAGCAAAGCGCGAAAUGUAAUGUGAAUUGCAGAAUUCAGUGAAUCAUCGAAUCUUUGAACGCACCUUGCGCUCUUGGGUUAUUCCUAAGAGCAUGUUCGUUUGAGUGUCGCGUACCUCUCAACCCCCUUUGUACUUUCGGGUAUGAAGUGUUAGGGUUGGAUCAUGACGGUUUCUGUUUGAAUGCCACAAACUCCGUUGAAAUACAAAAAGCUUUGAAGUAUCUCAUAAGACGAGCUUGACCCGUUGUCAUACGUUCUAGUAACAACUCCCAACGGUUAUCGUUUUAAUGCUUUCACUCUUAAAAACAGUGAGAGAGAGUCAGUUCAGCUUACCAUAAACGUAGCCCCUCUUGAGUGAGGACCCGGCACCUUUUUACAAUUGACCUCAAAUCGAGCAGGACUACCCCCUGAACUUAAGCAUAUCAAUAAGCGGAGGA